This 1119-nucleotide ribosomal RNA is filed under the name Triticum aestivum (bread wheat). Its description in RNAcentral is "partial small subunit ribosomal RNA". The record is from RNAcentral. Lineage: Eukaryota; Viridiplantae; Streptophyta; Magnoliopsida; Poales; Poaceae.
GGAGUCUAUGAAUCAAAGGUGUCAGAAGCAAAUAGACAGUGGAACAAGACGACAGCCAUGACUAACUGCGGGGCUAAAAUGAGGCUGAAGAGGGAAAGGGAUGGAACACUUGUCAUAAAAGAGAUAGUCUGGGAACACAACCACGGGCUAUAGCUCUCCCCCCAAAUGCUUGUCUUCUUGCACUCCCACAAAAACUUUGACAAAACAAUCUUGGAGUAGAUCAAGUACCUGCAGUUCAAAGGCAUUGAACACGCACAAAUCAUGAGCAUACUGGGCGGCGAUGACCCCGGUAGCUACUUCCUCGAAAUGAAUGCCGAAGACCUGAUUAACAUCAAAGCAAAGAAUUCAAGGAUGGAUGAUGUGGACGAUGUCCUAAAGACUGUCAACUUCUUUAGGGAGAUGAAAGCUAUAAACAGGGAAUUCUUCUGUGACAUGCAACUUGAUGAGUCCGACAGAGGGGCAUAUCAAGAUUUUGGUGACUGUGUAACAAUUGAUACCACAUAUAAGACCAACAAGUACCAUAUGCCACUUGGGGUGUUUGUGGGCACUAACAACCACUUACAGACUACAUUCUUUGCUUUCGCCCUAAUAAGAGAUGAGGAUGCAGAUUCAUUCAGAUGGCUGUUCAAGACAUUUUUAAGGUGCAUGAGAGGGAAGGCUCCUACAUGCAUCCUCAUAGACCAGUGCCCGACAAUGGCUUUGGCAAUCCUAGAUGCUUUCAGGUACACAGUACAAAAGUUGUGCCGCUGGCACAUUAUGAAGAAGUACAGGGAACACCUCACAUACCUGUACAACCUCCACGAAGACUUUAAGGAUGAAUUCACAUCAAUCCUCAACUAGCCCCUAAUGCCAACUGAGUUUGAGGCUGCCUGGAAAGGACUCAUGGAUAAGUACAACCUCCAUGAUGAUGCCACGAUGGUGGCCAUGUGGAACGAGCGUGAGAGAUGGAUAUCAGCUUACUUCAAAGAAAUUUUCUGCGCCAAAAUGACAUCCACACAACAAAGUGAGAACAUGAACUAUGUGCUCAAGAAGAACUUCGCAAGUGAGAGACAAAACCUCCACCGGUUUGUCAGCCACGUAAACUCCUGCGUCAAAACCAGGAGGCAGAUAGAGAACUAG